RNAcentral lists this ribosomal RNA (430 nucleotides) under Acinetobacter baumannii. RNAcentral describes it as "bacterial SSU rRNA". It matches the Rfam family "Bacterial small subunit ribosomal RNA", at positions 1 to 431 of the family's 1533-position model. The record is from RNAcentral. Lineage: Bacteria; Pseudomonadati; Pseudomonadota; Gammaproteobacteria; Moraxellales; Moraxellaceae.
UUUAACUGAAGAGUUUGAUCAUGGCUCAGAUUGAACGCUGGCGGCAGGCUUAACACAUGCAAGUCGAGCGGGGGAAGGUAGCUUGCUACUGGACCUAGCGGCGGACGGGUGAGUAAUGCUUAGGAAUCUGCCUAUUAGUGGGGGACAACAUCUCGAAAGGGAUGCUAAUACCGCAUACGUCCUACGGGAGAAAGCAGGGGAUCUUCGGACCUUGCGCUAAUAGAUGAGCCUAAGUCGGAUUAGCUAGUUGGUGGGGUAAAGGCCUACCAAGGCGACGAUCUGUAGCGGGUCUGAGAGGAUGAUCCGCCACACUGGGACUGAGACACGGCCCAGACUCCUACGGGAGGCAGCAGUGGGGAAUAUUGGACAAUGGGGGGAACCCUGAUCCAGCCAUGCCGCGUGUGUGAAGAAGGCCUUAUGGUUGUAAAGC